UUUACUCCAAAUUGAAGUGAAAAAAAAAGGCCCUUUCCUCGAGGACUUUUGUGGGUUGCUUCGAGUUUAUGCCACCUCCUUUGUUUGAUGAAAUUUUUAACUUUACAUAAAGUUGACAGUAUGAAGUUACUGCGUGAUUGGUGGAUUUUGGGAGCCAAAUGGACAUCAUAUUCUACUUGUUAUUUGAUGUGAAGGCAUGUUUUUCCAUUAUAAUGUCUUUCUCUAAGAACCCUUUUGACUUGUUUCGCCAUGAUUGUUAGCAUAGCCAGGCUCACAAGGCUUUGCUCUGCGUUUUUCUUUUUCUUUCUUUUAUAAUUACAAACCAUAUGACCAAACAGAAGCCUGCCCAUUUUUAUCUUGCUUUUUGCUCCGUGGUUAUCAUUUGAGUAUUUGUGGAGUAUUCAUGUGAAUCCCCACUCCAUAUUUGGCAUUUGAGUAUUUGUGGAGUAUUCAUGUGAAUCCCCACUCCAUAUUUGGCUUACAACUCAUUUUAUGUAAAUGUAAAAAUGUAAUGGCAGAAAGGUCAAUCUGAAUCUUGAUUUUAAAAAAUCCAGAACUUCAAAAUGCUUAAAACGUCAAUUCAAACCGACCCUUAAUUGACUUUGACGAGCUUAACUCAGCAUUUUGAAUUGGAAUGGUUGGAGCAAUUUGAUAAAAUAAAAUACCGGACAUUCAUUGCUGUUUGGUUUUGAUGGAUUUAGGCUAUUUUAAUCAAUUUGAUAUAGUUUUUGGUUGAUUUGGCAGUUGCCUUCAUCAAUUCCAGUCGAUUUGAAGCUUGAUUUGUCUUCGGCUCUGGGAAUUGGGUAAGAUAUCUGUGUCAAAUUGCAUGAGAACCAAAUUGUAUCUAUAUCUAUAUCUAACUUAACAAGUGUCCAGAAGAGUAAAGACUACAGGUUUAUAGAACAGAGAAGAUCAAUGAAGUAGAAGCCUUUUCAAUUGAUCAGAUUUCCAUUCAUCAUCAAGGAAUGCUGAACAUGAAAAGUUUGUGCUUUAUCUCCCGCUGUCCGCUGUAUGACUUCAGAAAUUUAU
RNAcentral lists this long non-coding RNA (1029 nucleotides) under Cucumis sativus (cucumber). RNAcentral describes it as "long non-coding RNA (CSAT_LNC002539)". The record is from RNAcentral. Lineage: Eukaryota; Viridiplantae; Streptophyta; Magnoliopsida; Cucurbitales; Cucurbitaceae.